Molecule: long non-coding RNA, 425 nt
Filed under: Pan troglodytes (chimpanzee)
Lineage: Eukaryota; Metazoa; Chordata; Mammalia; Primates; Hominidae
Description: long non-coding RNA NONPTRT006771
Source: RNAcentral
CUGUCUUUCUUCACAGAAAUUUCCAAGGAAACUAUAUUUCAUACAUUGAUGGAAAUGUAUGGAAAGCAUACAGAUGAACUGAGAAACUAAAUCUGGGCUGCAAUUUAAUUACAGAACUGAGCCUUGGAACAUUUCAGGCCUGGCACGGAAUGCAGUUUUUACACAACUUGAGGCAUGAGGAGGUGAGAGAUGGAAAGAAUGCUGUCUGUCAUUUGGAGUCAGAAGGAAAAGAAGGUUGAGGGUCUGCCAGCUCUGCUCUAGUGGUUUUUUCCUGUUUCACCUUUUACAAAAUCGAGAUAAUCGUUUCUACUUGGUAGCGAUAUUGUGAGGUGUAAAAUGGAUUAAUACAUGGAAAAUGCUUAAAGCAACUUCUGGCAUACGGUGAUCGCUCAACCAAUCCAUUGUUAUUUUAUUAUUAUUAUUUU